This is a long non-coding RNA of Aquila chrysaetos chrysaetos, 2574 nucleotides long. RefSeq lists it as uncharacterized. The record is from RefSeq and is a predicted model, not a curated record. The transcript has 2 exons. Lineage: Eukaryota; Metazoa; Chordata; Aves; Accipitriformes; Accipitridae.
AGUCAUGCAUAUAUUUCACAACCAAAUCCCAGACCCACUUCCCAGCCCUAGCUCCAUGUUUGGACUUUGCCUUUGGAAAGAGAGGGCUUUGUCCCUGCCAGAGGACCCAAUCCACCUGGGUAUCUGGAAAAGCUUCUCCAGAUCCACUUCCAAGAGCAAGGCUCCCUCGGAAAUGGUGUAAAUCAGGAGCGUGACUCUAUUGAACGAGGAGCAGAAGAGCCAGGAGCAGAGCCUGCAGCAUCACUGCUCUUGCUCUCAGCGUAUGUUCCCGAGAAGAGCUCCAUGCCGGAGGAAGCACAAGGAGGCUGAUGGAGCGGAGGGCCUCCCAGUUUGUGCAGGUGUGUGUCACCUCGUCCAGGCAUGUCACGACAAAGACCCCAGAGCAAGGAAACCGCAGCAGCCAGGCAAGACUUGCGAACCGUCGCUGCUCUGCUCUGAGCUACCCGGGUUGGCCGACUUCUUAAGGAGUGCGCCCACACACUGGGAGACAUUGCUGUUUGUUGAAUAAACCCAGAGAGCGGCGAUGUGUAGACAUGAUUUAAGAGCCAUUUCUUCUUCUUUCAGCAUGGAAUCCAGCAAGUAUAACCCCUGGGCGGUGGGACAUUGAAGGAUAUGGCACAGGAGGGGGAAGUAAAGGCAGAUAUUUCUAGUGAUUGUUCUGUGCUUUUCCUCUGUGCGCUUCCAGAAAGGGCUUCAACAUGAAAAAGGAUGUCAAGACAGGAAGGAUAUUGAGUUGGCUUCGGCUCUGUCAUACAAAUAGCUUAAGUGACCUUUCUCUAGCAAAACACCAACUAUCGUAGUAUGGAUUUGUUCUAAAGGGUUGUCAGCUCUGGAAGAGUGCAGCUAUUUCACAAGCAGGACAUCCAUAGAUAGAUAGAUAGACAGAGAAAUAGACAGAUAGUGUGGGGUAGAGACAGAAAUAGAGACAGACAAAUGCAGCCUUCACAAAACCUUAUUUUAACUGCCCUCAUUUAUAACAUAGGUUUUGUUGGUUUUGAUGCCUUUGGAAGGGGACUUCAUGUAUCUUCACACCGUUCCUGAGUGUGGCAGUAUUUGCACAGUGUUAAUGUCUCAGGCCUGAUCCUGUACUCCUUCCCUUCAUGCAUAGCUCCCACACGGAUGGGGAAACUGAGGCAUGUAGCAGCAAAGUAACUUCUAGAGGUCCCAUGACGUGGAAGGAAAGCCAGGCAUGGCAUCCUCCAUCCUCUCUUCUAACCGUUGCCCCUCGCUGUGUUGCCCGUUACGAUCCCUGUCACACCUUUAAGAAGAUGUCACCUCCUUUAAAGGAUGGUGAACACCCACCUUUGGGAGUCUGUGUGCAUGCCUGAGUCAUGCAGAUAGAGCCAAGAGUCGCGAGGUGGGAGCUGGGCACUUUCCCAGAAAAGCUGGGCUGAAACCACAGAAGCCAUUUCCUUGCAGACUCGAGCCAUUAUCCCCCCCCCCCCCCCCCCCCCCCCCAAAACGACUGCUUUGCACAUGCUGAGCCCUCCUGAGGUUGAGAUUUGCUCCCACAUGUCCUCACCGCAGAGCUGCCGCUUGUCCAUCCUCUGGGCUGCUCCCAGAAGGGUGUCCUGGCAUGAGGACAGCCAUGGGGCCAUCGCUGCCUCAUUGCUCGUCCCACUCCUUCUGCAGCUUCCUUGGAUUAACGACCCCUCUCUGCAUUGCUGCCCUAAGCUUCCUGGUCAGUUUUAAAGCAAACCAGACACCAGCCACUAAGAAAAAUCACUAUGCCGCUUUUGGAGAGGUGUAGACUUUUCCUGUGGGCUGCAACCCCUCUGGCUUCGAGGCAAAAAAUCCAUGGCUCCAGGCUCUUCCCACCGAAGAACAGGCACCCUUGGCUCCAAGUGCAAAUUUUAGGAUGUUAUGCUCUCUUCUGGACUGCAUUAGUCCCCAGAACAUUGCAAGAUGAGUAGAAAAAUGGUCUUGGGAGAAGAUGGCUUGAGGUUGCGAUUGAGGGAGGUUGUAUUUCCUUGUAGCUGAGGCUGCAGAGGUGCAAAUUUUAACUUAGGCAAUUAAUUCACCCAUUCCUUAUGUCCAGGAGAGGUGAACCAAAGGGAAAAAACCCCACUCUAACUCUUGGGACACCAUUACAUUGCAUUACUUUUCCUAGGUGGGACUUUAUCUACAGGCUCAACCAGACAGCAGGAAAAAUCAACCCAAGAAAUAGUUACAUUACUCUGAGCUUGGCUACUGAUAGGUAGCAAAGAUUGUCAGAAACAUUCUGAAAAUGCCAAAAUUUAGGGAAUAUUUCCCAGCUGCAUCUCCCUAGCCCAGCCCUGCUCUCAAUGAGGGAUCCUCUUUGUUCACAGGCCGACUGACAGCAGUUGUGUGCGCUCUAUAAACGUCGAAUGGAAGAGAUACUUUUAAUGUAAUUAUAAUUUAAGCAUAAAAUAUGUCACUUCUGUAGGAUUUUGUUGUCUGGUGCGUAAUUACUUUAUGGCACUAUAAAAAUAUAUUACAUUAUGAUGCCUUGCUAUGCUUUGCUCAAAUAAUUUAUAACACGGUAAUAGUGUGGAACAAUAUUCAAGACCAUUGUAUCCAAUCUAGCAUAUAAAUAAAAAUUGUGGAAAAUAA